UGAGGGAUAUUGGUCAAUGGGCGCAAGCCUGAACCAGCGACGCCGCGUGGGUGAAGAAGGUCUUCGGAUCGUAAAGCCCUUUUCCCACUGAAGAGGAAGGACGGUAGGUGGGGAAGAAGUCUCGGCUAACUACGUGCCAGCAGCCGCGGUAAAACGUAGGAGACAAGCGUUAUCCGGAGUUACUGGGCGGAAAGGGCGUGCAGGUGGCGUCUUAAGUCUGUUGUGAAAGCGCCUGGCUUAACCGGGCGAGGCCAAUGGAGACUGAGAGGCUGGAGGACGGCGGAGGGGUGUGGAAUUCCGGGUGUAGUGGUGAAAUGCGUAGAGAUCCGGAGGAACACCAGAGGCGAAGGCGGCACUCUAAGCCGUACCUGACACUGAGACGCGACAGCACGGGGAGCAAACG
This 403-nucleotide ribosomal RNA is filed under the name uncultured bacterium. Its description in RNAcentral is "bacterial SSU rRNA". It matches the Rfam family "Bacterial small subunit ribosomal RNA", at positions 355 to 774 of the family's 1533-position model. The record is from RNAcentral.